GAUUAAGUUAUUAAGGGCGCACGGUGGAUGCCUUGGCACUAGAAGCCGAUGAAGGACGUUACUAACGACGAUAUGCUUUGGGGAGCUGUAAGUAAGCUUUGAUCCAGAGAUUUCCGAAUGGGGAAACCCAGCAUGAGUUAUGUCAUGUUAUCGAUAUGUGAAUACAUAGCAUAUCAGAAGGCACACCCGGAGAACUGAAACAUCUUAGUACCCGGAGGAAGAGAAAGAAAAUUCGAUUCCCUUAGUAGCGGCGAGCGAAACGGGAAGAGCCCAAACCAACAAGCUUGCUUGUUGGGGUUGUAGGACACUCUAUACGGAGUUACAAAGGACGACAUUAGACGAAUCAUCUGGAAAGAUGAAUCAAAGAAGGUAAUAAUCCUGUAGUCGAAAAUGUUGUCUCUCUUGAGUGGAUCCUGAGUACGACGGAGCACGUGAAAUUCCGUCGGAAUCUGGGAGGACCAUCUCCUAAGGCUAAAUACUCUCUAGUGACCGAUAGUGAACCAGUACCGUGAGGGAAAGGUGAAAAGCACCCCGGAAGGGGAGUGAAAUAGAACCUGAAACCGUGUGCUUACAAGUAGUCAGAGCCCGUUAAUGGGUGAUGGCGUGCCUUUUGUAGAAUGAACCGGCGAGUUACGAUUUGAUGCAAGGUUAAGCAGUAAAUGUGGAGCCGUAGCGAAAGCGAGUCUGAAUAGGGCGUUUAGUAUUUGGUCGUAGACCCGAAACCAGGUGAUCUACCCUUGGUCAGGUUGAAGUUCAGGUAACACUGAAUGGAGGACCGAACCGACUUACGUUGAAAAGUGAGCGGAUGAACUGAGGGUAGCGGAGAAAUUCCAAUCGAACCUGGAGAUAGCUGGUUCUCUCCGAAAUAGCUUUAGGGCUAGCCUCAAGUGAUGAUUAUUGGAGGUAGAGCACUGUUUGGACGAGGGGCCCCUCUCGGGUUACCGAAUUCAGACAAACUCCGAAUGCCAAUUAAUUUAACUUGGGAGUCAGAACAUGGGUGAUAAGGUCCGUGUUCGAAAGGGAAACAGCCCAGACCACCAGCUAAGGUCCCAAAAUAUAUGUUAAGUGGAAAAGGAUGUGGCGUUGCCCAGACAACUAGGAUGUUGGCUUAGAAGCAGCCAUCAUUUAAAGAGUGCGUAAUAGCUCACUAGUCGAGUGACACUGCGCCGAAAAUGUACCGGGGCUAAACAUAUUACCGAAGCUGUGGAUUGUCCUUUGGACAAUGGUAGGAGAGCGUUCUAAGGGCGUUGAAGCAUGAUCGUAAGGACAUGUGGAGCGCUUAGAAGUGAGAAUGCCGGUGUGAGUAGCGAAAGACGGGUGAGAAUCCCGUCCACCGAUUGACUAAGGUUUCCAGAGGAAGGCUCGUCCGCUCUGGGUUAGUCGGGUCCUAAGCUGAGGCCGACAGGCGUAGGCGAUGGAUAACAGGUUGAUAUUCCUGUACCACCUAUAAUCGUUUUAAUCGAUGGGGGGACGCAGUAGGAUAGGCGAAGCGUGCGAUUGGAUUGCACGUCUAAGCAGUAAGGCUGAGUAUUAGGCAAAUCCGGUACUCAUUAAGGCUGAGCUGUGAUGGGGAGAAGACAUUGUGUCUUCGAGUCGUUGAUUUCACACUGCCGAGAAAAGCCUCUAGAUAGAAAAUAGGUGCCCGUACCGCAAACCGACACAGGUAGUCAAGAUGAGAAUUCUAAGGUGAGCGAGCGAACUCUCGUUAAGGAACUCGGCAAAAUGACCCCGUAACUUCGGGAGAAGGGGUGCUCUUUAGGGUUAACGCCCAGAAGAGCCGCAGUGAAUAGGCCCAAGCGACUGUUUAUCAAAAACACAGGUCUCUGCUAAACCGUAAGGUGAUGUAUAGGGGCUGACGCCUGCCCGGUGCUGGAAGGUUAAGAGGAGUGGUUAGCUUCUGCGAAGCUACGAAUCGAAGCCCCAGUAAACGGCGGCCGUAACUAUAACGGUCCUAAGGUAGCGAAAUUCCUUGUCGGGUAAGUUCCGACCCGCACGAAAGGCGUA
This 2004-nucleotide ribosomal RNA is filed under the name Staphylococcus aureus. RNAcentral's name for it is "partial 23S ribosomal RNA". It matches the Rfam family "Bacterial large subunit ribosomal RNA", at positions 1 to 2003 of the family's 2925-position model. Lineage: Bacteria; Bacillati; Bacillota; Bacilli; Caryophanales; Staphylococcaceae. The record is from RNAcentral.